Molecule: non-coding RNA, 362 nt
Filed under: Pongo abelii (Sumatran orangutan)
Lineage: Eukaryota; Metazoa; Chordata; Mammalia; Primates; Hominidae
Source: RNAcentral
GCCAAUUGGCUGUAUCACAUGGAAGUUGUACCCGUCAGCACCUGCUGACGGCUUUGUUGUCCAAACCCUGACAGGUAAAAAAAUUCCUGCAGAAUAAAGCCAGACCAGCUGGCUUUGAAGAGAAACCCCCCAGUUUGGGCUGCGUUUGCCUCCUCUCCUUUUCUAUGAAGACCGAGGCUUUGCCCCCUUGAUCGUCAAGCCGUGAGAUGCGUGAUCUCUCUGCACAAGUGUCUGGCAGGCCGAGGGCACCACUUUAAGAUAAAAACAUAGACCUGAAUGGCAUCAUCCAGUAUCCAAGGAAACCAUGUUCUCUAAACAUGAGUAUGCCUUUGGGGGAAGACAGAAGAACAUGGAAGCCAUGU